GAUGAACGCUGGCGGCGUGCCUAAUACAUGCAAGUCGAGCGAACAGACGAGGAGCUUGCUCCUCUGACGUUAGCGGCGGACGGGUGAGUAACACGUGGAUAACCUACCUAUAAGACUGGGAUAACUUCGGGAAACCGGAGCUAAUACCGGAUAAUAUAUUGAACCGCAUGGUUCAAUAGUGAAAGACGGUUUUGCUGUCACUUAUAGAUGGAUCCGCGCCGCAUUAGCUAGUUGGUAAGGUAACGGCUUACCAAGGCAACGAUGCGUAGCCGACCUGAGAGGGUGAUCGGCCACACUGGAGCUGAGACACGGUCCAGACUCCUACGGGAGGCAGCAGUAGGGAAUCUUCCGCAAUGGGCGAAAGCCUGACGGAGCAACGCCGCGGGAGUGAUGAAGGUCUUCGGAUCGUAAAACUCUGUUAUUAGGGAAGAACAAAUGUGUAAGUAACUAUGCACGUCUUGACGGUACCUAAUCAGAAAGCCACGGCUAACUACGUG
This 497-nucleotide ribosomal RNA is filed under the name uncultured bacterium. RNAcentral's name for it is "partial 16S ribosomal RNA". It matches the Rfam family "Bacterial small subunit ribosomal RNA", at positions 28 to 507 of the family's 1533-position model. The record is from RNAcentral.